This 864-nucleotide ribosomal RNA is filed under the name uncultured Acidobacteriota bacterium. RNAcentral's name for it is "bacterial SSU rRNA". It matches the Rfam family "Bacterial small subunit ribosomal RNA", at positions 28 to 897 of the family's 1533-position model. The record is from RNAcentral. Lineage: Bacteria; Pseudomonadati; Acidobacteriota.
AAUCAACGCUGGCGGCGCGCCUAACACAUGCAAGUCGAGCGAGAAAGUGUAGCAAUACAUGAGUAAAGCGGCGCACGGGUGAGUAACACGUGGGUAAUCUGCCCUCGAGUGGGGAAUAACACCGGGAAACCGGCGCUAAUACCGCAUACGAUCACGAUUUCUUCGGAUUUUGUGAUGAAAGGAGCAAUUCGCUCUUGGAGGAGCCCGCGGCUGAUUAGCUAGUUGGUGAGGUAAUGGCUCACCAAGGCAACGAUCAGUAGCCGGUCUGAGAGGACGGUCGGCCACACUGGAACUGAGACACGGUCCAGACUCCUACGGGAGGCAGCAGUGGGGAAUUUUUCGCAAUGGGGGCAACCCUGACGAAGCAACGCCGCGUGGAUGAUGAAGUAUCUCGGUACGUAAAAUCCUUUCGACGGGGAAGAAAACCGCAAGGUUUGACGGUACCCGUAGAAGAAGCCCCGGCUAACUCCGUGCCAGCAGCCGCGGUAAUACGGGGGGGGCAAGCGUUGUUCGGAAUUACUGGGCGUAAAGGGCGCGUAGGCGGUUCGCUAAGUUGAAUGUGAAAACUCUGGGCUUAACCCAGAGCCUGCAUUCAAUACUGGCGGGCUAGAGUUCUGGAGGGGAUAGCGGAAUUCCUGGUGUAGCGGUGAAAUGCGUAGAUAUCAGGAGGAACACCGGUGGCGAAGGCGGCUAUCUGGACAGAGUCUGACGCUGAGGCGCGAAAGCUAGGGGAGCAAACAGGAUUAGAUACCCUGGUAGUCCUAGCCCUAAACGAUGGAUACUUGCUGUGACUGGGAUUGAAUCCAGUCGUGGCGAAGCUAACGCAUUAAGUAUCCCGCCUGGGGAGUACGGUCGCAAGGCUGA